This 253-nucleotide ribosomal RNA is filed under the name uncultured bacterium. RNAcentral's name for it is "partial 16S ribosomal RNA". It matches the Rfam family "Bacterial small subunit ribosomal RNA", at positions 524 to 776 of the family's 1533-position model. The record is from RNAcentral.
UACGUAGGGGGCAAGCGUUGUCCGGAAUCAUUGGGCGUAAAGAGCGUGUAGGCGGUUCGGUAAGUCCGUCGUGAAAGUCCAGGGCUCAACCCUGGAAAGCCGAUGGAUACUGCCGGACUAGAGUCCGGAAGAGGCGAGUGGAAUUCCUGGUGUAGCGGUGAAAUGCGCAGAUAUCAGGAGGAACACCUAUGGCGAAGGCAGCUCGCUGGGACGGCACUGACGCUGAGACGCGAAAGCGUGGGGAGCAAACAGG